CUCUAUGGCAAUACCACUUUGAAUAUGCCCGAUGUCAUCCAAUCUCUAAAGCUAAGCAGGGUUGAGCCUGGUUAGUACUUAGAUAGGCAACCUUCCUGGAAUACUGGAUGUUGUAGGCU
This 119-nucleotide ribosomal RNA is filed under the name Phascolarctos cinereus (koala). Lineage: Eukaryota; Metazoa; Chordata; Mammalia; Diprotodontia; Phascolarctidae. The record is from RNAcentral.